UUCACAAUGAUAAAGAAAAACAAUACUUAGAGCCAUAUGUUUUCCUUAUUUAACAAGAUAGUAAUUUCUGAACUGAUGUACCAUAACUGACCUCUACUAACUGCUCCCAAUAGUUGGACUGUUUAAUGACCAGUUACACAGGAAGAUCAUUAUUGAGGCUAUUGAUUAAGCUAAUCACGUAUUGGAAUUCAAAGGUUACUGAAUGGCCAAAUAUUUAGUGAUCAAAUGCUUACACAAUCCAGUUUGAUCAACCCAAUUAUGCAUACAAAGUUGAUUACAAUGCACAACCAAGAAAAUCAUAUGAAACUGUCAAAAUAACGAAAAUUAUCAAAAUAACAAAUCUACAGCAAACGCUCCAGUUUCAUUUCAUUGUUGUCAACAGGAGAUGAUACAUCAAAACAGGAUAGAGAUGUGUACCUGGAAUUGCAAAGUAACAAAAGGAAAGAGGAGAAUUAGCGGCAAUUUACAC
This 469-nucleotide long non-coding RNA is filed under the name Nicotiana benthamiana. RNAcentral describes it as "long non-coding RNA (NBEN_LNC021900)". The record is from RNAcentral. Lineage: Eukaryota; Viridiplantae; Streptophyta; Magnoliopsida; Solanales; Solanaceae.